Molecule: ribosomal RNA, 253 nt
Filed under: uncultured bacterium
Lineage: Bacteria
Description: partial 16S ribosomal RNA
Rfam family: Bacterial small subunit ribosomal RNA
Source: RNAcentral
UACGGGGGGGGCAAGCGUUGUUCGGAAUUACUGGGCGUAAAGGGCUCGUAGGUGGCCAACUAAGUCAGACGUGAAAUCCCUCGGCUUAACCGGGGAACUGCGUCUGAUACUGGAUGGCUAGAGUUUGGGAGAGGGAUGCGGAAUUCCAGGUGUAGCGGUGAAAUGCGUAGAUAUCUGGAGGAACACCGGUGGCGAAGGCGGCAUCCUGGACCGACACUGACGCUGAGGAGCGAAAGCCAGGGGAGCAAACGGG